UACGAAGGGGGCUAGCGUUGUUCGGAUUUACUGGGCGUAAAGCGCACGUAGGCGGAUUGUUAAGUCAGGGGUGAAAUCCUGGAGCUCAACUCCAGAACUGCCUUUGAUACUGAGAAGCUUGAGUCCGGGAGAGGUGAGUGGAACUGCGAGUGUAGAGGUGAAAUUCGUAGAUAUUCGCAAGAACACCAGUGGCGAAGGCGGCUCACUGGCCCGGUACUGACGCUGAGGUGCGAAAGCGUGGGGAGCAAACAGG
This 253-nucleotide ribosomal RNA is filed under the name uncultured bacterium. RNAcentral describes it as "partial 16S ribosomal RNA". It matches the Rfam family "Bacterial small subunit ribosomal RNA", at positions 524 to 776 of the family's 1533-position model. The record is from RNAcentral.